AAGACCAUAGCCAAAUCGGAAAAGGCACUCGUCCUGAGGGCGAGAGAUUGGGGGUUCGAGUCCUCCUGGUUUUA
Molecule: transfer RNA, 74 nt
Filed under: Parvularcula marina
Lineage: Bacteria; Pseudomonadati; Pseudomonadota; Alphaproteobacteria; Parvularculales; Parvularculaceae
Rfam family: tRNA
About the family: Transfer RNA (tRNA) molecules are approximately 80 nucleotides in length. Their secondary structure includes four short double-helical elements and three loops (D, anti-codon, and T loops).
Source: Rfam by way of RNAcentral